Molecule: ribosomal RNA, 441 nt
Filed under: Bacillus pumilus
Lineage: Bacteria; Bacillati; Bacillota; Bacilli; Caryophanales; Bacillaceae
Description: bacterial SSU rRNA
Rfam family: Bacterial small subunit ribosomal RNA
Source: RNAcentral
GUCGUGAGACGUUGGGUUAAUUCCCGCAAGGAGCGCAACCCUUGAUCUUAGUUGCCAGCAUUCAGUUGGGCACUCUAAGGUGACUGCCGGUGACAAACCGGAGGAAGGUGGGGAUGACGUCAAAUCAUCAUGCCCCUUAUGACCUGGGCUACACACGUGCUACAAUGGACAGAACAAAGGGCUGCAAGACCGCCAGGUUUAGCCAAUCCCAUAAAUCUGUUCUCAGUUCGGAUCGCAGUCUGCAACUCGACUGCGUGAAGCUGGAAUCGCUAGUAAUCGCGGAUCAGCAUGCCGCGGUGAAUACGUUCCCGGGCCUUGUACACACCGCCCGUCACACCACGAGAGUUUGCAACACCCGAAGUCGGUGAGGUAACCUUUAUGGAGCCAGCCGCCGAAGGUGGGGCAGAUGAUUGGGGGAAGUCGACCCAAGGAUCCUUGCGC